UAGGGAAUAUUAGUUAAUGUGCGAAAGCGCGAACUAGCAACGCCGCGUGUGCGAUGAAGGCCUUCGGGUUGUAAAGCACUUUUCCAAGGGACGAGGAAGGACGGUACCUUGGGAAUAAGCAUCGGCUAACUACGUGCCAGCAGCCGCGGUAAAACGUAGGAUGCAAGCGUUAUCCGGAUUUACUGGGCGUAAAGCGCGUGUAGGCGGUUCGGUAAGUUGGAUGUGAAAGCUCCUGGCUUAACUGGGAGAGGUCGUUCAAUACUGCCGGGCUUGAAGAUGGGAGAGGGAGGUGGAAUUCCGAGUGUAGUGGUGAAAUGCGUAGACAUUCGGAGGAACACCAGUGGCGAAAGCGGCCUCCUGGACCAUUUCUGACGCUCAGACGCGAAAGCUAGGGUAGCAAACGG
Molecule: ribosomal RNA, 404 nt
Filed under: uncultured bacterium
Lineage: Bacteria
Description: bacterial SSU rRNA
Rfam family: Bacterial small subunit ribosomal RNA
Source: RNAcentral